UACGAAGGGGGCUAGCGUUGUUCGGAAUUACUGGGCGUAAAGCGAGCGUAGGUCGCUCGAUAAGUCAGUGGUGAAAGCCCAAGGCUCAACCUUGGAACUGCCAUUGAAACUGUCGAGCUGGAAUCUCAGAGGGGAUAGCGGAAUUCCAAAUGUAGAGGUGAAAUUCGUAGAUAUUUGGAGGAACACCGGUGGCGAAGGCGGCUAUCUGGAUGAGUAUUGACACUGAGGCUCGAAAGUGUGGGGAUCAAACAGG
RNAcentral lists this ribosomal RNA (253 nucleotides) under uncultured bacterium. RNAcentral's name for it is "partial 16S ribosomal RNA". It matches the Rfam family "Bacterial small subunit ribosomal RNA", at positions 524 to 776 of the family's 1533-position model. The record is from RNAcentral.